AGCAGCCGCGGUAAUUCCAGCUCCAAUAGCGUAUAUUAAAGUUGUUGCAGUUAAAAAGCUCGUAGUUGAAUUUCGGGAUCAAUUUAUUGGUCGUGCUAUUGUACGUACUGGUAUUAUUGAUUCCUACCUUCUGACGAACCAUGAUGUCAUUAAUUUGGUGUCAUGGGGAAUCAGGACUGUUACUUUGAAAAAUUAGAGUGUUUAAAGCAAGCUCACGCUUGAAUACAUUAGCAUGGAAUAACGAAAUAGGACGUUUGAUUCUAUUUUGUUGGUUUCUAGGAUCGACGUAAUGAUUAAUAGGGAUAGUUGGGGGCAUUAGUAUUCAAUUGUCAGAGGUGAAAUUCUUGGAUUUUUUUAUGAAGACUAACUACUGCGAAAGCAUUUGCCAAGGAUGUUUUCAUUAAUCAAGAACGAAAGUUAGGGGAUCGAAGACGAUCAGAUACCGUCGUA
Molecule: ribosomal RNA, 450 nt
Filed under: uncultured Glomeromycotina
Lineage: Eukaryota; Fungi; Glomeromycota
Description: SSU rRNA
Rfam family: Eukaryotic small subunit ribosomal RNA
Source: RNAcentral